Molecule: ribosomal RNA, 433 nt
Filed under: uncultured bacterium
Lineage: Bacteria
Description: bacterial SSU rRNA
Rfam family: Bacterial small subunit ribosomal RNA
Source: RNAcentral
GCGAACGCUGGCGGCAGGCUUAACACAUGCAAGUCGAGCGCCCGUAGCAAUACGGGAGCGGCAGACGGGUGAGUAACACGUGGGAACGUGCCCUUUGGUUCGGAACAACACAGGGAAACUUGUGCUAAUACCGGAUAAGCCCUUACGGGGAAAGAUUUAUCGCCAAAGGAUCGGCCCGCGUCUGAUUAGCUAGUUGGUGGGGUAACGGCCCACCAAGGCGACGAUCAGUAGCUGGUCUGAGAGGAUGAUCAGCCACACUGGGACUGAGACACGGCCCAGACUCCUACGGGAGGCAGCAGUGGGGAAUAUUGGACAAUGGGGGAAACCCUGAUCCAGCCAUGCCGCGUGAGUGAUGAAGGCCCUAGGGUUGUAAAGCUCUUUCGGUGGGGAAGAUAAUGACGGUACCCACAGAAGAAGCCCCGGCUAACUUCGU